GAUGAACGCUGGCGGCGUGCCUAAUACAUGCAAGUCGAGCGAACAGAUAAGGAGCUUGCUCCUUUGACGUUAGCGGCGGACGGGUGAGUAACACGUGGGUAACCUACCUAUAAGACUGGGAUAACUUCGGGAAACCGGAGCUAAUACCGGAUAACAUUUGGAACCGCAUGGUUCUAAAGUGAAAGAUGGUUUUGCUAUCACUUAUAGAUGGACCCGCGCCGUAUUAGCUAGUUGGUAAGGUAACGGCUUACCAAGGCGACGAUACGUAGCCGACCUGAGAGGGUGAUCGACCACACUGGAACUGAGACACGGUCCAGACUCCUACGGGAGGCAGCAGUAGGGAAUCUUCCGCAAUGGGCGAAAGCCUGACGGAGCAACGCCGCGUGAGUGAUGAAGGGUUUCGGCUCGUAAAACUCUGUUAUUAGGGAAGAACAAAUGUGUAAGUAACUGUGCACGUCUUGACGGUACCUAAUCAGAAAGCCACGGCUAACUACGUG
This 497-nucleotide ribosomal RNA is filed under the name uncultured bacterium. RNAcentral's name for it is "partial 16S ribosomal RNA". It matches the Rfam family "Bacterial small subunit ribosomal RNA", at positions 28 to 507 of the family's 1533-position model. The record is from RNAcentral.